UAAAUCUUCGGCAAUGGGGGGAACCCUGACCGAGCAACGCCGCGUGAGUGAAGAAGGUUUUCGGAUCGUAAAGCUCUGUUGUUAAGGAAGAACGAGUGUGAGAAUGGAAAGUUCAUACUGUGACGGUACUUAACCAGAAAGGGACGGCUAACUACGUGCCAGCAGCCGCGGUAAUACGUAGGUCCCGAGCGUUGUCCGGAUUUAUUGGGCGUAAAGCGAGCGCAGGCGGUUAGAUAAGUCUGAAGUUAAAGGCAGUGGCUCAACCAUUGUAGGCUUUGGAAACUGUUUAACUUGAGUGCAGAAGGGGAGAGUGGAAUUCCAUGUGUAGCGGUGAAAUGCGUAGAUAUAUGGAGGAACACCGGUGGCGAAAGCGGCUCUCUGGUCUGUAACUGACGCUGAGGCUCGAAAGCGUGGGGAGCGAACAGGAUUAGAUACCCUGGUAGUCCACGCCGUAAACGAUGAGUGCUAGGUGUUAGGUCCUUUCCGGGACUUAGUGCCGCAGCUAACGCAUUAAGCACUCCGCCUGGGGAGUACGACCGCAAGGUUG
RNAcentral lists this ribosomal RNA (547 nucleotides) under uncultured bacterium. Its description in RNAcentral is "bacterial SSU rRNA". It matches the Rfam family "Bacterial small subunit ribosomal RNA", at positions 358 to 896 of the family's 1533-position model. The record is from RNAcentral.